AUGGAGUCUCGCACUGUUGCCCGGGCUAGAAUGCAGUGGUGCAAUCCGACUCACUGCAACCUCUGCCUCUCGGGUUCAAGUGAUUCUCCUGCUUCAGCCUCCUGAUUUGCUGGAAUUACAGAGCAAACCAGUGAGAAAAUGGCCUUCGUACUCCUGAGAGACCUUUCACCAGGCUUUCUACUUUUGAAUUCUCUCCAUAGCUGGUUUCCUCUUAGGCUCCGAUAGAGCAGUCCCUGAAUCACACAGGCAUGCUGACUACGUCCUUUCCUGGUACAAACCAUCAUGUGGGAAACACACAGCAAGAAGCAUCUUCAGGUCACAAGAUAGGUAAUACCAUCUGCCUGAAUUUUUUCAAAAGCAGCAGAAUAUUUAGUUUUCUAUUUCAGUGGCUUCUAACAGAGAUCAUUGUUUGCACAAGACUAAAUGUCUGCAGUCGUCGUC
RNAcentral lists this long non-coding RNA (441 nucleotides) under Pongo abelii (Sumatran orangutan). Its description in RNAcentral is "lincRNA". The record is from RNAcentral. Lineage: Eukaryota; Metazoa; Chordata; Mammalia; Primates; Hominidae.